AUUGAACGCUGGCGGCAUGCUCUACACAUGCGAGUCGAACGGUAACAGGCCGCAAGGUGCUGACGAGUGGCGAACGGGUGAGUAAUGCAUCGGAACGUGCCCAGUCGUGGGGGAUAACUACUCGAAAGAGUAGCUAAUACCGCAUACGAUCUAUGGAUGAAAGCGGGGGACCGUAAGGCCUCGCGCGAUUGGAGCGGCCGAUGUCAGAUUAGGUAGUUGGUGGGGUAAAGGCUCGCCAAGCCAACGAUCUGUAGCUGGUCUGAGAGGACGACCAGCCACACUGGGACUGAGACACGGCCCAGACUCCUACGGGAGGCAGCAGUGGGGAAUUUUGGACAAUGGGCGCAAGCCUGAUCCAGCAAUGCCGCGUGCAGGAAGAAGGCCUUCGGGUUGUAAACUGCUUUUGUACGGAACGAAACGGCUCUGGUUAAUACCCGGGGCUAAUGACGGUACCGUAAGAAUAAGCACCGGCUAACUACGU
RNAcentral lists this ribosomal RNA (481 nucleotides) under uncultured bacterium. Its description in RNAcentral is "partial 16S ribosomal RNA". It matches the Rfam family "Bacterial small subunit ribosomal RNA", at positions 30 to 506 of the family's 1533-position model. The record is from RNAcentral.